CUGAGUUAUCACAACUCCAAACCCAUGUGAACCAUACCAUUUGUUGCCUCGGCGGGGCUGUACCUACCCGGUACCUACCCUGUAGCCAGCCCCGCCGGCGGACUUUCAAACUCUUGUUUUCUAUGUGGCAAUUCUGAGUACACUAUUGAAAUAAGUCA
RNAcentral lists this unclassified non-coding RNA (158 nucleotides) under uncultured Calceomyces. RNAcentral describes it as "sequence contains ITS1". The record is from RNAcentral. Lineage: Eukaryota; Fungi; Ascomycota; Sordariomycetes; Xylariales; Xylariaceae.